GUACACUCCUGCGGGAGGCAGCAGUGGGGAAUAUUGCACAAUGGGCGCAAGCCUGAUGCAGCCAUGCCGCGUGUAUGAAGAAGGCCUUCGGGUUGUAAAGUACUUUCAGCGGGGAGGAAGGCGAUAAGGCUAAUAACCUUGUCGAUUGACGUUACCCGCAGAAGAAGCACCGGCUAACUCCGUGCCAGCAGCCGCGGUAAUACGGAGGGUGCAAGCGUUAAUCGGAAUUACUGGGCGUAAAGCGCACGCAGGCGGUCUGUCAAGUCGGAUGUGAAAUCCCCGGGCUCAACCUGGGGACUGCAUUCGAAACUGGCAGGCUAGAGUCUUGUAGAGGGGGGUAGAAUUCCAGGUGUAGCGGUGAAAUGCGUAGAGAUCUGGAGGAAUACCGGUGGCGAAGGCGGCCCCCUGGACAAAGACUGACGCUCAGGUGCGAAAGCGUGGGGAGCAAACAGGAUUAGAUACCCUUGUAGUCCCA
This 475-nucleotide ribosomal RNA is filed under the name uncultured organism. RNAcentral's name for it is "partial 16S ribosomal RNA". It matches the Rfam family "Bacterial small subunit ribosomal RNA", at positions 331 to 797 of the family's 1533-position model. The record is from RNAcentral.